GAUGAACGCUGGCGGCGUGCUUAACACAUGCAAGUCGAACGGAAAGGCCCAAGCUUGCUUGGGUACUCGAGUGGCGAACGGGUGAGUAACACGUGGGUGAUCUGCCCUGCACUUCGGGAUAAGCCUGGGAAACUGGGUCUAAUACCGGAUAGGACGAUGGUUUGGAUGCCAUUGUGGAAAGUUUUUUCGGUGUGGGAUGAGCUCGCGGCCUAUCAGCUUGUUGGUGGGGUAAUGGCCUACCAAGGCGUCGACGGGUAGCCGGCCUGAGAGGGUGUACGGCCACAUUGGGACUGUGAUACGGCCCAGACUCCUACGGGAGGCAGCAGUGGGGAAUAUUGCACAAUGGGCGCAAGCCUGAUGCAGCGACGCCGCGUGGGGGAUGACGGCCUUCGGGUUGUAAACUCCUUUCGCUAGGGACGAAGCGUUUUUGUGACGGUACCUGGAGAAGAAGCACCGGCUAACUACGUG
Molecule: ribosomal RNA, 468 nt
Filed under: uncultured bacterium
Lineage: Bacteria
Description: partial 16S ribosomal RNA
Rfam family: Bacterial small subunit ribosomal RNA
Source: RNAcentral